This 253-nucleotide ribosomal RNA is filed under the name uncultured bacterium. RNAcentral describes it as "partial 16S ribosomal RNA". It matches the Rfam family "Bacterial small subunit ribosomal RNA", at positions 524 to 776 of the family's 1533-position model. The record is from RNAcentral.
UACAGAGGGUGCAAGCGUUAAUCGGAAUUACUGGGCGUAAAGCGUGCGCAGACGGUUGCGUAAGUCAGAUGUGAAAGCCCAGGGCUCAACCUUGGAACUGCAUCCGAUACUGGCGUGCUAGAGAAUUGGAGAGGAGUCUAGAAUUCACGGUGUAGCAGUGAAAUGCGUAGAUAUCGUGAGGAAUACCAAGUGCGAAGGCAGGACUCUGGACAUUUUCUGACGCUGAGACACGAAGGCUAGGGGAGCAAACGGG